Molecule: ribosomal RNA, 525 nt
Filed under: Kutzneria sp. 306G04
Lineage: Bacteria; Bacillati; Actinomycetota; Actinomycetes; Pseudonocardiales; Pseudonocardiaceae
Description: bacterial SSU rRNA
Rfam family: Bacterial small subunit ribosomal RNA
Source: RNAcentral
GAGCGGCGAACGGGUGAGUAACACGUGGGCAACCUGCCCUGCACUCUGGGAUAAGCCCGGGAAACUGGGUCUAAUACCGGAUAUGACCCUUGAUCGCAUGAUCGAGGGUGGAAAGUUCCGGCGGUGCAGGAUGGGCCCGCGGCCUAUCAGCUUGUUGGUGGGGUAGUGGCCUACCAAGGCGACGACGGGUAGCCGGCCUGAGAGGGCGACCGGCCACACUGGGACUGAGACACGGCCCAGACUCCUACGGGAGGCAGCAGUGGGGAAUAUUGCGCAAUGGGCGAAAGCCUGACGCAGCGACGCCGCGUGAGGGAUGACGGCCUUCGGGUUGUAAACCUCUUUCAGCAGGGACGAAGCGCGAGUGACGGUACCUGCAGAAGAAGCACCGGCUAACUACGUGCCAGCAGCCGCGGUAAUACGUAGGGUGCGAGCGUUGUCCGGAAUUAUUGGGCGUAAAGAGCUCGUAGGCGGUUUGUCGCGUCGACUGUGAAAACCUACAGCUUAACUGUGGGCUUGCAGUCGAUC